AAUUCGUGAUGUGGGUAGUCUCUCAGUAUUCCCUUAAAUCUAGCUUAACCUUCAUAGAGAGAUUCAGAAUCUGCUUGUUUGAAACUUGCAAUUAGAUUUCUGAGAUG
Small nucleolar RNA from Zingiber officinale, 107 nucleotides. The record is from RefSeq and is a predicted model, not a curated record. Lineage: Eukaryota; Viridiplantae; Streptophyta; Magnoliopsida; Zingiberales; Zingiberaceae.